RNAcentral lists this long non-coding RNA (2264 nucleotides) under Numida meleagris (helmeted guineafowl). RNAcentral describes it as "lncRNA (ENSNMEG00000000544.1)". Lineage: Eukaryota; Metazoa; Chordata; Aves; Galliformes; Numididae. The record is from RNAcentral.
AGACAGGAAAUAAGCUUUCCUGCUUGAGUAGGAAAUGCAGGCAACUUGAACUCACAAGAAAGAAGUCAGAAAGUGUACUACUCCCUAUAAAAAGGGGAAGACUUGUGGAAAAUACACCAUUUUUUGCCUGUCUCAGUGAAAGCUAGAAAGCAAAUCUCUUCACACUUCUUGAGAGAGAAGGUUGUGUCCAGACUUGAAAAUUAAGGAAGUCCCACAGCCUUUCUGAGCUUUACACUGGGAGGAAAAUGAACUGCCUGAGCAGAGGAUGAAUGUUGUCUUGGGUCACCAUCAAGAUCUUGACCUGCCUAACUGAUGUGACUCAGGGAAAGAGAAAGGAGUCUGCUGUUUGCACUGCAAGAUUUCGAGCUCAACUUAAACCUGAAGUGCAUGGACGUGGUUGGGCAUGAUCUUGUGAAUCACCUGAAGCAUGUUUGCAACAAACAAAAGCCAUCAUAAUUCUCCCAAAGUCAACAAAGAUGUAAUAUAUGAGGGAAUAGUGAGAGCAGCAGGUGUUGUCAGAAUUUAUGGAGGAGCAGCAAGCCCAGGCGGCAGCCCCACAGGAAGAGCAGUGACAGUUACUGCAGCAAAGGAGCUCAAGAAUUACAAGAGCAGGGCAGAGCUGCAGCUACUCUAUAGCCUGGCCCUUGGGCAGGAACCAGCAAGACAUUGACUCUGGGCUUGCAUGGCCAACUCUAGCAGUAAGACUAGGAGCAAUCAGGGCAACCAGUCGCCCAAGACCCGUGCUGAAUGAGCGUGGCCCAUGCUGUGCAUGCUGAUCUCUGAGCGAUGGUACUGCUGCCGAGUGGGAGAGGUACAUCUUGAACCAGUUGGGAAUCCCAGAAUAGAAGUACUGAUAAAGGCUCAUGGAGGAAUUUAACUACCCAGACAUCUGUUGAGUAACAAAUACAGCUGAACAUGCAUCAUCGCAGAGGUUCCUAAAUUACAGUGAAGACAACUUUAUGAUCCAGAAAGUAGAGACUCCUGAGGAGAAGCCAUCCUGGAUCUACAGGAAUAUAUUAAUGAAAUUUGCAGAUGAAACUUUGCAAGUGCAUUAAAAAUAUAGCAGCUCUGUGACUCUAGCCCAGUAUCAUAUGUAUUUAGAGCGGACUGUCUUCCACAUCCAUUUAUUAAUUUUUACCAUUUCAUAAGUAAAUGAAAGCUCAAACCCAUGUUCUGCUGUCUUUAAAACUGUUUGCAUCAUCCAUGCAUGCCAGACAUUUGAAAUCUACAGACUCUUAACUAAUAUACUUUGCAAACGUUUCUGCUGGACGACGUACAGCUCGUGACGGAGACCCAGAGAAUUAGAAAAAUUGACAGAUAAUAACACUAUGCCAAUUCAGUUCAAAAAUGCAAAAGCAUACUUUUGCAGAAGAAAAAUCAUUUGAAACAAAUGUUGUGUAAGAUGAGGAACCUUAAGACGCAGAAAUAUUGAAAAGAUAAUACUGAACAGCAAAUAAGGCAUAAGUUUUCAAUAAGGCACAAUAGGAAAGGAGGCCUAUAAAGUUUUGGAGUACAAACAAAGAGAUAUUAUGUCACGGGGUAAAGUUCAAAUAGGGCUUUUUCCCUUCCUCGUUGGUAUCAGGCAAUACAAAAUAGGCUAGCACAUUAAAAUGAACAACAAAAAGGUUUUGUUGAUUAUCAAGAUGGACUUCUGGCAGUGGAACGUAGGGGAUUAUGGAAAAUCUGGAAGUUUUGUCUUACAGUGACACUAAGGAGAAAAAAGAAAAGCAACCAAAAAGCCUGCAGCAUUUGAUUUUUAUCCUAAAACAAGGGGCGCUGUGAAAUCCUAGGGGAAAGAUUUCUCUUAAAAUUUCUCACAUAAAUCAGCUAGUCUUUGCCAUCCUGAAAGAAAAAAACAGCCCUGAAUGAAUCCUGCUUCAUUCCUCAGAUUCAGUAUAUGGAUAAUGCAGGUUUACUCUCUAAUGAUUCAUUUCCUUACAUCUGGAGAAUGUGUCUUUUGAAUUUUGUUUUGGGGGGGGGAACACAUUUUUUUUUUUUCCUCUUUUGCCAGGUUUUAAUUUGAUGCAUUCAUUUCUCCAUUACCAUUCUGUCCCAGCAUUUAUUGUCUCAAACACUAUUCAGCAAAAUCUCUUUCACAUCUCUUCGGGAAGGUAACAUUUCAGUUUCCAUUUGUAACAGCAAGGUAUGAUCUCAGUGGGAUGGUAAUCUUCCUGCUAAAACAAUGUUCAUUAGCUUUGUGAUGAAAUAUGCCUGUGUUAUAAAUAUUUCCAGAAAAGAAUAAAACUUUUCACUAGUCUAUGUCA